Molecule: ribosomal RNA, 1285 nt
Filed under: metagenome
Description: bacterial SSU rRNA
Rfam family: Bacterial small subunit ribosomal RNA
Source: RNAcentral
UAGCUAGUUGGUGAGGUAACGGCUUACCAAGGCGACGAUCUGUAGCGGGUCUGAGAGGAUGAUCCGCCACACUGGAACUGAGACACGGUCCAGACUCCUACGGGAGGCAGCAGUGGGGAAUUUUGGACAAUGGGGGCAACCCUGAUCCAGCCAUGCCGCGUGAGUGAAGAAGGCCUUCGGGUUGUAAAGCUCUUUCGGCCGGGAAGAAAUCGCAUGGGCCAAUACCCUGUGUGGAUGACGGUACCGGAAUAAGAAGCACCGGCUAACUACGUGCCAGCAGCCGCGGAAAUACGUAGGGUGCGAGCGUUAAUCGGAAUUACUGGGCGUAAAGCGUGCGCAGGCGGUUUUGUAAGACAGGCGUGAAAUCCCCGGGCUCAACCUGGGAACUGCGUUUGUGACUGCAAGGCUAGAGUACGGCAGAGGGGGGUGGAAUUCCACGUGUAGCAGUGAAAUGCGUAGAGAUGUGGAGGAACACCAAUGGCGAAGGCAGCCCCCUGGGUCGAUACUGACGCUCAUGCACGAAAGCGUGGGUAGCAAACAGGAUUAGAUACCCUGGUAGUCCACGCCCUAAACUAUGUCAACUAGGUGUUGGGUGGGUAAAACCAUUUAGUACCGUAGCUAACGCGUGAAGUUGACCGCCUGGGGAGUACGGCCGCAAGGUUAAAACUCAAAGGAAUUGACGGGGACCCGCACAAGCGGUGGAUGAUGUGGAUUAAUUCGAUGCAACGCGAAAAACCUUACCUACCCUUGACAUGCCAGGAACUUGCCAGAGAUGGCUUGGUGCCCGAAAGGGAGCCUGGACACAGGUGCUGCAUGGCUGUCGUCAGCUCGUGUCGUGAGAUGUUGGGUUAAGUCCCGCAACGAGCGCAACCCUUGUCGUUAAUUGCCAUCAUUUAGUUGGGCACUUUAGCGAGACUGCCGGUGACAAACCGGAGGAAGGUGGGGAUGACGUCAAGUCCUCAUGGCCCUUAUGGGUAGGGCUUCACACGUCAUACAAUGGUCGGUACAAAGGGUCGCCAAGCCGCGAGGUGGAGCCAAUCCCAGAAAGCCGAUCGUAGUCCGGAUUGCAGGCUGCAACUCGCCUGCAUGAAGUCGGAAUCGCUAGUAAUCGUGGAUCAGCAUGUCACGGUGAAUACGUUCCCGGGUCUUGUACACACCGCCCGUCACACCAUGGGAGCGGGUUCCGCCAGAAGUAGGUAGCCUAACCGUAAGGAGGGCGCUUACCACGGCGGGGUUCGUGACUGGGGUGAAGUCGUAACAAGGUAGCCGUAGGGGCCUGCGGCUG